Long non-coding RNA from Uranotaenia lowii, 244 nucleotides. RefSeq lists it as uncharacterized. Lineage: Eukaryota; Metazoa; Arthropoda; Insecta; Diptera; Culicidae. The record is from RefSeq and is a predicted model, not a curated record. The transcript is spliced from 3 exons.
UCGAAACUGCAGGUUACAAUUAAGUCGAGUUGAAAUUCGCGAUAGUGACCUUUUGAAAUGACAGCUCUUCCAGUAAGGCACUCCAUUUGAAUCCAGGAGUCACUUUUGUUUCCAACUAGGCGACGAAGGUGAUAGAUGCGUUUAUUGAAGGCCGAGAAUCCUGAAUACAAUUUAAUCCUCCUCAGCAUUGGGCCUUACAAAUGCUGCUCGGGCGUGACUAUUUGGCGACUUGAAUGUUUUUUUU